GAUGAAGAACGUAGCGAAAUGCGAUAAGUAAUGUGAAUUGCAGAAUUCAGUGAAUCAUCGAAUCUUUGAACGCACAUUGCGCCCGCCAGUAUUCUGGCGGGCAUGCUUGUCCGAGCGUCAUUUCAACCCUCGAACCCCUCCGGGGGGUCGGCGUUGGGGAUCGGCCCUUUACGGGGCCGGCCCCGAAAUACAGUGGCGGUCUCGCCGCAGCCUCUCCUGCGCAGUAGUUUGCACACUCGCAUCGGGAGCGCGGCGCGUCCACAGCCGUUAAACACCCCAAACUUCUGAAAUGUUGACCUCGGAUCAGGUAGGAAUACCCGCUGAACUUAAGCAUAUCAAUAAGCGGAGGA
This 350-nucleotide unclassified non-coding RNA is filed under the name soil metagenome. Its description in RNAcentral is "partial contains 5.8S ribosomal RNA, internal transcribed spacer 2, and large subunit ribosomal RNA". The stretch from base 1 to 120 matches the Rfam family "5.8S ribosomal RNA", at positions 35 to 154 of the family's 154-position model. The record is from RNAcentral.